Molecule: ribosomal RNA, 250 nt
Filed under: uncultured bacterium
Lineage: Bacteria
Description: partial 16S ribosomal RNA
Rfam family: Bacterial small subunit ribosomal RNA
Source: RNAcentral
UACAGAGGGGGCAAGCGUCGUUCGGAAUCACUGGGCUUAAAGGGCGCGUAGGCGGGCCGUCAAGUCAGAGGUGAAAUCCCCCGGCUCAACCGGGGAACUGCCUUUGAUACUGGCGGUCUGGAGUAAGGUAGGGGCAUGCGGAACUGAUGGUGGAGCGGUGAAAUGUGUUGAUAUCAUCAGGAACUCCGGUGGCGAAAGCGGCGUGCUGGACCUUUACUGACGCUGAGGCGCGAAAGCCAGGGGAGCAGAC